ACCCUCUCAGGGUCACACCUGAAGAGUUUCCAGUAUUCUACCAGUCUCGACUACGGGAGGGCGAGUCAAGCAGAGACCUAUCCAUUCCAUUCCUAGCUUGGGUGGUGGCUAGCGAGUGGAAGGCCAUCUGCUCCAAGU
Ornithorhynchus anatinus (platypus) is the source of this 138-nucleotide small nucleolar RNA. The record is from RefSeq and is a predicted model, not a curated record. Lineage: Eukaryota; Metazoa; Chordata; Mammalia; Monotremata; Ornithorhynchidae.